UACGGGGGGGGCAAGCGUUGUUCGGAAUUACUGGGCGUAAAGGGCUCGUAGGUGGCCAACUAAGUCGGACGUGAAAUCCCUCGGCUUAACCGGGGAACUGCGUCUGAUACUGGAUGGCUUGAGUUUGGGAGAGGGACGCGGAAUUCCAGGUGUAGCGGUGAAAUGCGUAGAUAUCUGGAGGAACACCGGUGGCGAAGGCGGCGUCCUGGACCAAUACUGACACUGAGGAGCGAAAGCCAGGGGAGCAAACGGG
RNAcentral lists this ribosomal RNA (253 nucleotides) under uncultured bacterium. RNAcentral's name for it is "partial 16S ribosomal RNA". It matches the Rfam family "Bacterial small subunit ribosomal RNA", at positions 524 to 776 of the family's 1533-position model. The record is from RNAcentral.